Long non-coding RNA from Eublepharis macularius, 3188 nucleotides. RefSeq lists it as uncharacterized. The transcript is spliced from 2 exons. NCBI's taxonomy places the organism in Eukaryota, Metazoa, Chordata, Lepidosauria, Squamata, Eublepharidae. The record is from RefSeq and is a predicted model, not a curated record.
AUGGCCCCCCCACCCAGUUAAAGACCCUGAUCCCCCUUUUCUUCUCCCGUUUGCAGUAAACAACCAGGGAUCGGACAGCUCUCUCGAUGAUAAGAUUUCCCAUGAACCUGUGAAAGGAACCACAGCAGGCGACCAGGAUUUUCCAGGAAAUGCGGAGCCCUUGGUCAGAACUGCAAAUCUUUAGUACUCUUACUUGUGCCAUCCUGUUGAACCUCCGUGGGAAGAAACCAUUUUUGCAGAGGGGUGUCUGUCAGUUUCGGUUGGGACUGUUUUGUUCUCUGAAGCCACGACGUGGGAGAAUGAUCUCUCCCCUUUGCCAUGACCACUGCUUCAGAGGAGAAUGAUUUUAGUAUCGUGGCCACUCUUCCUUGGUUCUGGUUCUGAUCUGUGAGGGCUAGCACUUGUUCUUCUGACCCCGUGCCCAUCCUGGCUACUGAAAUCUUGUAAGAAGCAGAUGAAGGAAACUGUGAUCAUUAUAGAUCAAUAACUAACUCAGGGUGUGUUUCCUUUGCCGCUAAAGGAGGCACUUAUCUGUCUGUUACUUUAAAAGCCAUCAUUAAAGAAGAAUGAGGAGGCCAAUUGUUGCCUGAAAUGGGACAAGUUGCUGGAGAGAACUGUUGCAGAACUACUCCAGGUCUUCAUGGAUGAAUCAUCUGCUCCAGACCCCUCUCAGUCUGGUUUCAGGCCAGGCUAUGGGAUGGUGGUCUUAGCUGAUGAUGAUCUCUGCCGGAAUGUAGACAAAGGACAGGCCUCAGGUGUUGCUAUUACUGGAUUUAUUGGUGGACUCCCAUACUGUAGACUGGGCCAUCUUGUUGAGAUGUUUAGAGGUAGAAGUAGAGAUUAAGCGAUGUGCUUUGGACUGGUUUACAUAUUUCCUUAGAGAUCUCAGGGGGUUGCCAUUGGAGUCGCAGUGUCGCAUAUGUCUUGUGAAUGUUACGAAUCAGACCCUGAAGUCCUACGAAUCAGACCCUCAGUCCAUCAGGAUCAGUAUUGGGAACUCAGACUGGCGGCAUCUCUCCUGGGUCUCAGGUAGAGGUCCUUUAUAUCACAUACUGCUUAGUCCUUUUUUAACUGGAAAUGCUGGGAAUUGAACCUGGCACCUUCUGAAUGCAAUACAGAACCUCUCUUGCUGAGCCACAGCCCCUCCUGUGUUAUCCAAUCUACGUAAAGCCCUUUGGGGAGAUCAUUUGUGGGUUUAGAGCACAUUGUUAUCUGAUUACACCCCGAUCUCCAUUUCUUUAUCUAGCCCACUUGGUGCUACCAAAGAGGUCCACUUGGAAACUCCAGUGGGUACCGAAUAGCACAGCUCACAUACUAUCGGUGCUCCAGGCAGAACAUGCAUGUUCCGCAGUCACUCCACUGGUUCUCAUGGCCCCUUCUUACAUCCCCAGGGUAAGGCUGAUCACCACCCUGGGGUCGGGCAGCAAUUUUCCCCAGGCCAGUUUAGCUAGGGAUCCUGACGGUAUUUUGCCAUUUUCUGGGCAUGGAGCAGGGGUCACUGGGGGUGUGGGGAGGUAGCUGUGAAUUUACUGCACUGUACAGGGGGUUGGACUAGAUGAUCCUAGAAGUGCCUUCCAACCCUAUGAUUCUGUGAUUCUACCCAUCAGUUAUUUGAGUCCAAGGUGUCAGUUACCACCUUCAGGGCCUAUGACCCAUAUAUCAGUAGAAUUGCCUCUCCCCAUAUACUUAACUGCGGUAAUUGGUAAUCUGAGCUAAGAUUCCUGAAGCUGCCACCUCACAAAGGGACUCCCACAACUCUUGUCGUUCCACAAAUGAUGUAAAACAAAAAGUUAGAGAGGGCAUUUUUAAAAAGGGGAAUAGGAUCAUCGUAUAUGAGAAAAUUUGUAUCGUUUUCAUCCCUUGGUUCGUCGUGUAUGUUACACUUUUGUACUGUUACUGCAAUUUUGUAAUCCAGUUUUCUUUCCCUGUUUGUUGGAUGCAUUUCACUGUUUCGUUGUGUGAAGUAUACUGCUGUUAAUGGCACCGGUCCCUAAUUUGGGGUUCCCAUUUUAUUGCACAUCUGGCUGUAUAUAUUAUAUUGGUGUGAUUGUUUUCGAUGGUGUCGUGUGCUUUGAACCUCAUAGAGAAAUUCAGAAUAUAAAUGAUGUAAAGUAUAUAAGCAAAUGGUGUUUCAUGAGUCUAGAUGCUUGCUAUGAAACCAUUUACAUUUUCUUCUCUUGUAGCAGCUGCUUUGAAAUAUAAAUAUUUGGCUAGUGUGAUCUCUUUUCCUAGUUGUGAUGAGGUCUCAAAAAAGACACAACAGAAGACCAGUUUUUGUGUUCUUGUUCACAUUGAACAUCACCUUGUUGCCAGCACUCAUUUCAGAGGGAGUUUUUGUUUGGGUGUCUGGGUCGUCCGAGGCCAUUUCUGCACAGAUUAUCUGCCCUGAGUUCAGUGAUUUGGGGAAGCAGUUCUUUUCCCCCUGCUUCCCCUCGUGGGGUUUCCCUGACUUUUCUCAGAUCUUCCUUUGUCCUGAUAGGUGUAGCAGGUUCUCUGGAUUCUCAGCUUUCUUUUUAGCCCUUUCUCUUGCAGAGUUAUAAGGGGAAAGGCAUAUCUUUGCAAAGGAAGCGGUAGAGAUUUACCUUUUUUAAUGAAAGCAGGUAAUUCAGAGAACCUGCUGUACCUAUAGCUACAAUGGUAUAUCAACUUUAUGAUAUUCUAGUGCCAAUUUUUUUUUAAAAAAAUUGCAAAAUCUCAGGUGUCCCAGAGGAGGUGUGUCGCCUCUUCUGCGAGAGUGGGGGAGGGAAACUGUUGGGAAACCUGCACCAGCAAUGGGGGAACCACAAAAUUCUGUUUUAUGUGGAAGACACCCAAGUCUCUGGCAUCUGUUUAUUGCCUAAUGGUGCAAUCUGGCUUUAUUGCCUUACUGAUCCAGAGGAGUUAGCCGUGUUAGUCUGUAGUAGCAAAAUAGUGAAGAGUCCAGUAGCACUUUUAAGACUAACCAACUUUAUUGUAGCAUAAGCUUUCGAGAGCUACAGCUCGAUGCAUCUGACGAAGAGAGCUGUGGCGCUCGAAAACUUACGCUAUAAUAAAGUUGGUUAUUCUUAAAGUUGCUACUGGACUCUUGUUUGUUUACUGUAUUAUGCAGGUCUUCCUUACAGUGUUUCUAUAAUUCUGUAACUUGCCUUGAAUCUCAGUGAGAAUGGUGGAUAAAAAAUGAAACAAAUAAAUACUUCUGUGAAUGACCA